UCUGGACAGUACUGACGCUGAGAUGCGAGAGCGUGGGGAGCAAACAGGAUUAGAUACCUGGUAGUCACGCUGUAAACGAUGUCGAUUUGGAGUUUGUUGCCUAGAGUGAUGGGCUCCGAAGCUAACGCGAUAAAUCGACCGCUGGGGAGUACGGCCGCAAGGUUAAAACUCAAAUGAAUUGACGGGGGCCCGCACAAGCGGUGGAGCAUGUGGUUUAAUUCGAUGCAACGCGAAGAACCUUACCUGGUCUUGACAUCCAUAGAAUUCUGCAGAGAUGUGGGAGUGCCUUCGGGAGCUAUGAGACAGGUGCUGCAUGGCUGUCGUCAGCUCGUGUUGUGAAAUGUUGGGUUAAGUCCCGCAACGAGCGCAACCCUUAUUCUUUGUUGCCAGCGAUUUGGUCGGGAACUCAAAGGAGACUGCCGUUGAUAAAGCGGAGGAAGGUGGGGACGACGUCAAGUCAUCAUGGCCCUUACGACCAGGGCUACACACGUGCUACAAUGGCGUAUACAAAGGGAAGCGGAGGUGCGAGCUGGAGCGGAUCUCAUAAAGUACGUCUAAGUUCGGAUUGGAGUCUGCAACUCGACUCCAUGAAGUCGGAAUCGCUAGUAAUCGUAGAUCAGAAUGCUACGGUGAAUACGUUCCCGGGCCUUGUACACACCGCCCGUCACACCAUGGGAGUGGGUUGCACCAGAAGUAGAUAGCUUAACCGCGAGGGGGGCGUUUACCACGGUGUGAUUCAUGACUGGGGUGAAGUCGUAACAAGGUAACCA
This 770-nucleotide ribosomal RNA is filed under the name uncultured Enterobacteriaceae bacterium. Its description in RNAcentral is "bacterial SSU rRNA". It matches the Rfam family "Bacterial small subunit ribosomal RNA", at positions 728 to 1502 of the family's 1533-position model. Lineage: Bacteria; Pseudomonadati; Pseudomonadota; Gammaproteobacteria; Enterobacterales; Enterobacteriaceae. The record is from RNAcentral.